Long non-coding RNA from Gasterosteus aculeatus aculeatus (three-spined stickleback), 1620 nucleotides. Lineage: Eukaryota; Metazoa; Chordata; Actinopteri; Perciformes; Gasterosteidae. The record is from Ensembl.
GUUGAAGACCAGUCGAGCUGCUGCAUUCUGAAUGAGCUGCAGAGGUCGAAUGGCGGUGGCAGGGAGACUAGCCAGGAGGGAGUUGCAGUAGUCCAGGCGGGAGAUGACAAGAGCCUGAAUCAGUACCUGCGCUGCCUUCUGAGUGAGAAGGGGACGUAUUCUCCUGAUGUUGUAGAGCGUGUAUCUACAGGAUCGCGUUGUCGCGGUGAUGUUGGGAGUCAGGGAGAGUUGGCUGUCGAGUGUGACGCCGAGGUUCUUAGCGGUCAAAGUGGGCGUUAGUACGGAGUUUCCAAAGUUGACUGUCAGGUCCUGGGUAAGCAAAUCUUUUCCGGGAAAGAGAAGUAGUUCAGUCUUGUCGGGGUUGAUUUUCAGAUGGUGGGCGGACAUCCACUGAGAGAUGUCAGUUAGACAGGCAGAGAUCCGAGCCGCCACCUGGGUGUCCGAGUGAGGGAAGGAGAGAAUUAGUUGGGUGUCAUCGGCAUAGCUGUGGUAAGAGAAGCCAUGCGAGCGAAUGACAGCGCCAAGAGAGUUGGUGUAAAGCGAGAACAGGAGGGGACCCAGCACGGAACCCUGAGGAACUCCAGUAGUAAGAGGACAUGGUUCCGACACAGAUCCUCGCCAGGUUACCCGGUAGGUGCGGCCGUCGAGGUAGGACGAGAGAAGGGAGAGAGCAGAGCCUGUGACACCAAGUUCCUGAAGGGAGGAAAUAAGGAUCUGGUGGUUGACCGUGUCAAAUGCAGCAGAGAGGUCCAGAAGGAUGAGGUCAGAGGAGAGAGAGGCGGCUCUAGCAGUGUGGAGUUGCUCUGAGACAGCAAGGAGAGCAGUCUCUGUGGAGUGGCCUGCCUUGAAACCUGACUGGUGGGGGUCAAGGAGGUUGUUACAGUGGAGAUAAGAGGAGAGUUGAUUAAAGCACACCUGUGCCACCACCCCUACCAGUGGGCCUGGGAGUGUGGCUGAAGGAGAAGGCGGAAGAGAGAGCGGCCGGGGUGGAUGUGUUCUCAGGUGUGAUCCAGGUCUCGGUGAGAGCGAGGAAGUCGAGUGACUGCUGGAUAGCGAAGCCGGAGAUGAAGUCUGCCUUGCGAGUCGUUGACUGGCAGUUCCAGAGACCUCCUGUGACGAGGUGCUGGACAUGUGUGGAGCGGGUGGGAUAGGAGAGAGAGGAGAGGUUACGAUAGAGAGCAGAUCUAGCCCGAGGCCUGUAGUAUCUGCGGGAAGGGAUUCGAACAGGUACGGGUAAACACAUUAUUAAAAAUAGCAGAAGAAGGCGCCGCAUUCAGCCGCCCCGAAGACUCCCACGAAAGACUCCUUUGUCUUUGUCCUGCUCGUCUUCGUGCUGCGAGGAUAAGCAAACGCUGAAGCUAACGCUUCCCACAAUUUCUAGUUAAAUACUCCCUCGUUAGUGGAAGUCGGCUGCGGCUGCGCUGGCCGCUCCCCCGUCGUUUAGGAGACAAAAGGUUGAUUGGCCUCGACAGAAACUCCUCAAAAUGCAAAACACCAAUAGCUUGACACCCUAAUCAGUGAACAAUCACCAUGUGGUGUUUUGACAAAAUGAGAGUUUAAGGAUUCAAGUCUUAUUUGCUUCAGAAGACAAGGCAAAACAGACUUAGAUCAGGUCAAAAC